UGCAGUCGAGCGGAACGAUCCUAGCUUGCUAGGAGGCGUCGAGCGGCGGACGGGUGAGUAAUGCAUAGGAAUCUGCCCGAUAGUGGGGGAUAACCUGAGGAAACUCAGGCUAAUACCGCAUACGUCCUACGGGAGAAAGCAGGGGCUCUUCGGACCUUGCGCUAUCGGAUGAGCUUAUGUCGGAUUAGCUGGUUGGUGAGGUAACGGCUCACCAAGGCGACGAUCCGUAGCUGGUCUGAGAGGAUGAUCAGCCACAUCGGGACUGAGACACGGCCCGAACUCCUACGGGAGGCAGCAGUGGGGAAUAUUGGACAAUGGGGGCAACCCUGAUCCAGCCAUGCCGCGUGUGUGAAGAAGGCCCUCGGGUUGUAAAGCACUUUCAGUGAGGAAGAAGGCUUGUCGGUUAAUACCCGGCAAGGGAGACAUCACUCACAGAAGAAGCACCGGCUAACUCCGUGCCAGCAGCCGCGGUAAUACGGAGGGUGCGAGCGUUAAUCGGAAUUACUGGGCGUAAAGCGUGCGUAGGCGGCUUGAUAAGCCGGUUGUGAAAGCCCCGGGCUCAACCUGGGAACGGCAUCCGGAACUGUCAGGCUAGAGUGCAGGAGAGGAAGGUAGAAUUCCCGGUGUAGCGGUGAAAUGCGUAGAGAUCGGGAGGAAUACCAGUGGCGAAGGCGGCCUUCUGGACUGACACUGACGCUGAGGUACGAAAGCGUGGGUAGCAAACAGGAUUAGAUACCCUGGUAGUCCACGCCGUAAACGAUGUCGACUAGCCGUUGGGGUCCUCGAGACCUUUGUGGCGCAGUUAACGCACUAAGUCGACCGCCUGGGGAGUACGCCGCAAGGUUAAAACUCAAAUGAAUUGACGGGGGCCCGCACAAGCGGUGGAGCAUGUGGUUUAAUUCGAUGCAACGCGAGACCUUACCUACCCUUGAC
This 933-nucleotide ribosomal RNA is filed under the name Halomonas caseinilytica. RNAcentral describes it as "bacterial SSU rRNA". It matches the Rfam family "Bacterial small subunit ribosomal RNA", at positions 56 to 985 of the family's 1533-position model. The record is from RNAcentral. Lineage: Bacteria; Pseudomonadati; Pseudomonadota; Gammaproteobacteria; Oceanospirillales; Halomonadaceae.